This 497-nucleotide ribosomal RNA is filed under the name uncultured bacterium. RNAcentral describes it as "partial 16S ribosomal RNA". It matches the Rfam family "Bacterial small subunit ribosomal RNA", at positions 28 to 507 of the family's 1533-position model. The record is from RNAcentral.
GAUGAACGCUGGCGGCGUGCCUAAUACAUGCAAGUCGAGCGAACGGACGAGAAGCUUGCUUCUCUGAUGUUAGCGGCGGACGGGUGAGUAACACGUGGAUAACCUACCUAUAAGACUGGGAUAACUUCGGGAAACCGGAGCUAAUACCGGAUAAUAUUUUGAACCGCAUGGUUCAAAAGUGAAAGACGGUCUUGCUGUCACUUAUAGAUGGAUCCGCGCUGCAUUAGCUAGUUGGUAAGGUAACGGCUUACCAAGGCAACGAUGCAUAGCCGACCUGAGAGGGUGAUCGGCCACACUGGAACUUGACCACGGUCCAGGCUCCUACGGGAGGCAGCAGUCGGGAAUCGUCCGCAAUGGUCGAAAGCCUGACGGAGCAACGCCGCGUGAGUGAUGACGGUCUUCGGAUCGUAAAACUCUGUUAUUAGGGAAGAACAUAUGUGUAAGUAACUGUGCACAUCUUGACGGCACCUAAUCAGAAAGCCACGGCUAACUACGUG